UGAGGAAUUUUGCGCAAUGGGCGAAAGCCUGACGCAGCGACGCCGCGUGGAGGAAGACGGCCUUCGGGUUGUAAACUCCUGUCAGAGGUGAAGAACGCCCGCAAGGGCUUGACGGUAACCUCAGAGGAAGCCCCGGCUAACUACGUGCCAGCAGCCGCGGUAAUACGUAGGGGGCGAGCGUUGCUCGGAAUUACUGGGCGUAAAGGGAGUGCAGGCGGCCGGUUAAGUCGAAGAUGAAAUCCCGAGGCUCAACUUCGGAACGGUCU
Molecule: ribosomal RNA, 266 nt
Filed under: uncultured bacterium
Lineage: Bacteria
Description: partial 16S ribosomal RNA
Rfam family: Bacterial small subunit ribosomal RNA
Source: RNAcentral